ACUGGAGCCGCGCCGGGGUUCGGGGGAGGGUUGUUGGUUUGGUGGAGGGAGGCUGGAGAUACAACGAGAAGCGGGGAGAUUGGGUGCUGGGUCAGUGCCAACGCCUCGCCCCUCCCCUUCACCGAGUCCGCCCCACAGCGUGGGAUUUUACAACCCAAGUCCCUGGGAGGUGUUGAAGGGUGGAAGGACCGGCGGGCACGUUUCCUGGGGGGAGGGGCGCGCUAAUCGCGCUGGGGACUGAGAGCCAGAUUCCUUCUUUCUUCUUGCCCUUGGCCCUGCGCUCAGACGCCGGCGUUUCCUCUCGCGGAGCACCUCGUCCCUGCCUCCCCUUCACCUACCCGCUUCUCUAGGUCAGGAAUUCUAACAGUUUCGAUAGGUGGUUCUGGCUUGGAGGGUUCUCUCAGGAGGUUGUAGCGAGAUGUCAGCUGAAGCCUUGUGAAGACUUGACGCAUCAUGGAGGAUCCGUUUCCAAGGGGUCAUUCACAUGGCUGGCACAAUUGACGCAGUACUUCUCAAGUUCCUUGUGGUUGGAAGGAGCCAUGACAUUAAUUCUGGCUAAUGAAAUAUGAGCAGAAGUAACAUAUAUGGGAUUCACCAGUUUCUCCUUUUUCUUCCACCACCUCCUUCUGGCCAUGUGUUCCAGAUGGUACGGCUACAAGCUGGUGGAAACUUCAUCUGCCUGAGUCCUUCAGUAAACUAUGUGGAACAGAGUUUUUAAUUUACAUGGAGUAUGGAUUGAGAAGAAGAAAUAAAUGUGUGUUAAUUCACUGAGAUCUGGUGGUGGUUUGUUAAACAGAAAAGGCAAAUGUGUUCUAAAACGAAGUGACAUUGUUCUGUAAUGGAGUUUGUCCAAGACCACCUUUGUCCUUGCUUACUUAGUUGAUGGCUGCUGACUGCCUUAGAGAAUUAAGUACAUAUGGAGGCUGGUAAUGUAGUAAGUUGUCUUUAUUUUGUGAUAAUGGUUGGAUGAGCACCUAAUAAACAUAUUUAAGUAAAUAAAUCUUUACUUUGAGACAGAAACAUCAGGGGAAUCUUCUCCUCACCAAUUAGACUUCGAAUCUUGAAACUGAGCAGAGCCCAGUAGGGCUCCUGGGCACAAAAGCCUAGGUCCCCCAUUGUUUUUUAGGAGAUAGGCUUCAUUCAGCCUCCUUGACCUUCCCUGAGUUCCAAAGGGUAGGUUCAAACAGUUGCUAAUCAGGGAAGGGAGGGGAUGUGGAGACCCCUGGAGAAGAAGUCAACAAACAAUAGUGCAGCUUUGGGGCAGGGUCCUGGUCCCUCCUCAAAGAAUAUAGAUAAUAAUAUCUUUGAGUUCUUCUGCAGACUGAAAACCCACAACAAAUGGAAGAUGUUAAUGAAGUAUUCUUCAUUUGGAAAGAAGACCACCAGACUAUUGAACACCAGCUUUGAAAACAAUGCAAGCGAGCCUCUAAACUGAUCCUUAUCUGUGGUCUAUUUUCUAUUCCCAAACUGUAAAACCACCUCCUAAUCUCCUCUAAGUAGGGACACACUCUUUAGGGCAUUAUCCUCUUGUGACCUUCCUUUGCCUGGCAGAGCAAUAAAGCUUUUUUUUUUCUCCUUCACCCAAAA
Non-coding RNA from Sus scrofa (pig), 1587 nucleotides. Lineage: Eukaryota; Metazoa; Chordata; Mammalia; Artiodactyla; Suidae. The record is from RefSeq and is a predicted model, not a curated record.